This 71-nucleotide transfer RNA is filed under the name Bos taurus (domestic cattle). It matches the Rfam family "tRNA". Rfam says of the family: Transfer RNA (tRNA) molecules are approximately 80 nucleotides in length. Their secondary structure includes four short double-helical elements and three loops (D, anti-codon, and T loops). The record is from Rfam by way of RNAcentral. Lineage: Eukaryota; Metazoa; Chordata; Mammalia; Artiodactyla; Bovidae. RNAcentral also lists the same sequence under 4 other names.
CCCCUGGUGGUCCAGUGGCUAGGACUCUGCUCCCAAUGCAGGGGGCCCGGGUUCGAUCCCUGGACAGGGAA